GGAGACAAGGGACUGCCGCCCGGCGCCAGGGGCGGCCAGCCGAGCGCCGAGCGCCUCCAACGGGGAGUGGGGGCGGGGCAGGAGGCGAUGCCCGCAGAUACUCACAUGACUGUGGAAGACCACUGUCAGCCACAUGCUGCCUGCAGACCACAGUUCCCUGCUAUACCUGAAGAUUCCAAGAUGAUUUGACAUUGUCUGGAAUGAGACCUGGAUCAAAACCCUGAUAUCUGCCUUUCCAUGAAAAGUCCGUUUUGCUUUGCACAGGCAUUCUACUCUCUGCACAUUACAACACCUGUAUGUCACCAGCUAUCAAACUGCCCUCUGAGAAAUAAAUGCAUUUUAGAAGGUUAUGGAAAUUCUUAUGGAUGAAGUGACUAGAAUGUUACAGUGGACUUCAGGUAAAAUAAACACUGGGUGGCAA
Molecule: long non-coding RNA, 421 nt
Organism: Phasianus colchicus (ring-necked pheasant)
Lineage: Eukaryota; Metazoa; Chordata; Aves; Galliformes; Phasianidae
Source: RefSeq, a predicted model, not a curated record